This is a non-coding RNA of Peromyscus leucopus (white-footed mouse), 1679 nucleotides long. The record is from the annotation of a RefSeq genome assembly. NCBI's taxonomy places the organism in Eukaryota, Metazoa, Chordata, Mammalia, Rodentia, Cricetidae.
AGACAUACAGACAAAGGAUGUUUAUUAGACCUUUAACCCACAUAUACAUCUGACCUGCUGCUGUGGGGCAGGAAACCCCAAAACUGCUCAGAACUGGAGCAGAUCAUGACCAACCCUGGGGGAAUCCAUGGACCCUGCAUUUCUCUGAGACACUAGGACAGUCCCACCUUCCUGCUUGUGACCUGAGACACCCACUCACAGACUACAUCCUGCCUCCUUGUGAAGCAGCCUGACAGUCAAGAUGCUGCUCCUCAGUGGAUUAACUUUCUCCUGCCUCUGGGCUUUUGGGCUUGGGCAGUUGGAGCCAAUCGGAAUAUCAGUCACCAGAGCAGUAAGCCAGAGUGCCCAAAUAUCCUGUAAAGUUUCUCUUGAAGGCUUUGACAAAGUAGACAUACAUUGGUACCGGCAGAAGACAAAUCAACCAUUUGAGUAUCUAAUAUAUGUCAGGAAUGAUAAUACUCAUCGCCCUUUAGAAGGAAUCAGCAAGAAAAUUGAAGCAAAGAAAGAUAUGCAAACUUCUACUGCAACCUUGAUCAUAAAUUCCUUGAAGAAAGAAGAUGAAGCCAUCUACUACUGUGCACUCUGGGUUGAGUCAUCAUGGAUCAAAGUAUUUUCAAAAGGGACGAAGCUCAUAGUAAUUCCCUCAGACAAACACCUUGGUUCAGAUGUUUUCCCCAAGCCUACCAUUUUUCUUCCUUCUGUUGCUGAAACAAAUCUCCAUAAGGCUGGGACAUACCUUUGUCUCCUUGAGAAAUUCUUCCCUGAUGUUAUAAGGGUAUACUGGAAAGAAAAGGAUGGUGAUAAGAUUCUGAAAUCUCAAGAGGGAAAUAGCAUGAAGACUAAUAACACAUACAUGAAGUUUAGCUGGCUGACUGUGACUGAGGAUUCAAUGGAUAAAGAGCAUAAAUGUAUUGUCAAACAUGAAAACAAUCAGGGAGGAGUUGAUCAAGAGAUUCUGUUUCCUCCCAUAGAUAAAGUUGCCAACAUCAUUUCUCCCACAGAAGCUUAUUUGAAAACUGAAAAUGCUUUCACAACUAUUUCUAUCAAUCCCAGAGGUGAAAAUGUUAAUAAUACUACUGACCUGGAAGCUUGCUUGGAAGAAAAAAGGGAUGUGCUGCAGAUUCAGGUGACGAAUACCUCUGCAUUCUACACCUACCUCAUCCUGUUCUUCAAGAGUGUGGUCCACUUGGCCUUCGUUAUAGUCUGUGUGUUUAGAAGAGCAGCUCUGCGUUGUGACGGUCAAAGUUCGUAAUGGAGGAUGAAACAGGAGGGUCACGUGGCCGUCAUCCUUCUCUGCCCCUCAAUGUCUUCUGAGGGUCUAGCUGGAUGUGCUUGCUGCUUGGACCUCCUCAAGGUCACACAUGUGGGAUUUCGUAUCAUUACUAUACAAAUGUUUUCAAAACAGGGAGGGAACUGAUCAACUUCACUCUACAACAAAUAGUAGCCCAUGGAAGCACCCAGCCAUCCUAACCCAUCCUCUCUCAGUGCCCCCCCCAAAACAGCCCAGAGCAUCACAGGCCCAAUGUACACAAACUGCAGCUUCUAGUCACCCCACUUCAUGCCCUUGAACCAGAUAAUGCCCUAAAAGCCUCUACUUCACAUGCUCCAAAGAAUCUUAUUUGAACUUGAACUCUGUGCUUUGUUUUGCAAAACACAAUAAAAAUCAAGUCUACUCUUGA